GCACUGACGACACCGGACCGCGGACAGGAGACAGCGAGGAGGAGAGUAGAGUGGAGGAACAUGGCAAAUUGCAUUGUUGAUUUUCAUUUUCAAGCCUGAGCUCCGCUUCUCAUUCAGUGGCGUGGCAGUGUGGCAGUGCGGCAUCAUGGCACCCUGGCACUGGCGACACUUUGCCAAAUGUGUGCUUCCUCCUCCUCGCCUCC
This 203-nucleotide long non-coding RNA is filed under the name Drosophila guanche. The record is from RNAcentral. Lineage: Eukaryota; Metazoa; Arthropoda; Insecta; Diptera; Drosophilidae.